GGAGGACAGCGUAUGUUGUCAACUUUGAUGAUUUGCUGGAUACAGGCAGGCAACCACAUUAACAAAGCUGAAGAUAAUCAUCAAGAAACAUGUUGCUGGGUGCUGUCUCUAAGAAAUUGAUUGCCCAAAAUGCAUGAAAUGUGCUGCAUCACUCAUAGACAAAGCAAAGUA
Molecule: long non-coding RNA, 171 nt
Organism: Hydra vulgaris (swiftwater hydra)
Lineage: Eukaryota; Metazoa; Cnidaria; Hydrozoa; Anthoathecata; Hydridae
Source: RefSeq, a predicted model, not a curated record